GUGGUGGCUCAGUGGUAGAGGGUUUGCUUAGCAUCAGGAGCACACAUGAGGCACUGGGUUCGAACCUCAGCACCACA
Molecule: transfer RNA, 77 nt
Filed under: Marmota monax (woodchuck)
Lineage: Eukaryota; Metazoa; Chordata; Mammalia; Rodentia; Sciuridae
Description: tRNA.Ala
Source: RNAcentral